AUUGAACGCUGGCGGCAUGCUUUACACAUGCAGGUCGAACGGCAGCGCGGGCUUCGGCCUGGCGGCGAGUGGCGAACGGGUGAGUAAUACAUCGGAACGUGCCCAGUAGUGGGGGAUAGCUCGGCGAAAGCCGGAUUAAUACCGCAUACGACCUGAGGGUGAAAGCGGGGGAUCUUCGGACCUCGCGCUAUUGGAGCGGCCGAUGGCAGAUUAGCUAGUUGGUGGGGUAAAGGCCUACCAAGGCGACGAUCUGUAUCUGGUCUGAGAGGACGACCAGCCACACUGGGACUGAGACACGGCCCAGACUCCUACGGGAGGCAGCAGUGGGGAAUUUUGGACAAUGGGCGAAAGCCUGAUCCAGCAAUGCCGCGUGUGUGAUGAAGGCCUUCGGGCUGUAAAGCACUUUUGGCGGGAACGAAAAGGACUGUGCCAAUACCACGGUUCGAUGACGGUACCCGCAGAAUAAGCACCGGCUAACUACGUG
Molecule: ribosomal RNA, 484 nt
Filed under: uncultured bacterium
Lineage: Bacteria
Description: partial 16S ribosomal RNA
Rfam family: Bacterial small subunit ribosomal RNA
Source: RNAcentral